CCUACGGGGCGCUGCAGUGAGGAAUAUUGGUCAAUGGACGAGAGUCUGAACCAGCCAAGUAGCGUGAAGGAUGACUGCCCUAUGGGUUGUAAACUUCUUUUAUAAAGGAAUAAAACGAGGCACGUGUGCCUUUUUGCAUGUACUUUAUGAAUAAGGAUCGGCUAACUCCGUGCCAGCAGCCGCGGUAAUACGGAGGAUCCGAGCGUUAUCCGGAUUUAUUGGGUUUAAAGGGAGCGUAGAUGGGUUGUUAAGUCAGUUGUGAAAGUUUGCGGCUCAACCGUAAAAUUGCAAUUGAUACUGGCAGUCGUGAGUACAGUUGAGGUAGGCGGAAUUCGUGGUGUAGCGGUGAAAUGCUUAGAUAUCACGAAGAACCCCGAUUGCGAAGGCAGCUUACUAAACUGUGACUGACAUUGAUGCUCGAAAGUGUGGGUAUCAAACAGGAUUAGAUACCCCUGUAGUC
Molecule: ribosomal RNA, 460 nt
Filed under: uncultured bacterium
Lineage: Bacteria
Description: partial 16S ribosomal RNA
Rfam family: Bacterial small subunit ribosomal RNA
Source: RNAcentral